CCAAGAGAAGUCCUUUGUCCAUCUCCACAGAUCUCUCACUGAGAAGUUUGAUGUUGGCUUCUGAUUUGCUCCAAGAGAAGAUUGCAUAGUCCCUCCAAGAAGGGGAUGUGGACAAGAACCCCUGACCAAAGUAGCCUUCAUCCAGUAGCUGUUUGAAGCAGAAACAGGCACCCACAGCUAAGCAACCGAACCAUACUACUGGAAUCCAGUUGUGGAGAGGGAGGAGGGAUGCGCAAAGGAGCCAAGACGGGGCUGGAGAAAUGCACUGAAACAGUGGACCUGACCUACUGAUAGCAUGGAGACCUUAGUCAUAAAGCUGGGGAAACAACAUUGGACGGAACCAAGCCUUCUGAAUGUGGGUGCCAGCUAGGAGGCCAAGACAGUUUAUGGGACCUCUAACAGUAGAGCCAGUCUUUAACCCUAGAGCACAAUGGACUUUGGGAGCCCAUUCCCUAUGGAGAGAUACUGUUGCAGCCCAGAUACAGCAAGGAGGGCCUAGGCUCUCCCCCAAAUGAUAUGACAGACUUUGAAGGUUCCUCGUGGAGGGCUUCACUAUCUCUGGGGAGG
Molecule: long non-coding RNA, 567 nt
Filed under: Cricetulus griseus (Chinese hamster)
Lineage: Eukaryota; Metazoa; Chordata; Mammalia; Rodentia; Cricetidae
Description: lncRNA (ENSCGRG00015031216.1)
Source: RNAcentral